Molecule: microRNA precursor, 207 nt
Filed under: Oryza sativa Indica Group (long-grained rice)
Lineage: Eukaryota; Viridiplantae; Streptophyta; Magnoliopsida; Poales; Poaceae
Description: MIR812 microRNA precursor family
Rfam family: MIR812 microRNA precursor family
Source: Rfam by way of RNAcentral
AAUGUUUGAUGCCGUUGACUUUUUAGCACAUAUUUGACCGUUCGUUUUAUUCAAAAAAUUUAAGUAAUUAUUAAUUCUUUUUCUAUCAUUUGAUUCAUUGUUAAAUAUAUUUUUAUGUAGUGCAUAUAAUUUUACAUAUUUUACAAAAGUUUUUUGAAUAAAACGAACGGUCAAAUAUGUGCUAAAAAGUCAACGGUGUCAAACAUU